ACUACGGGAGGCAGCAGUGGGGAAUAUUGCGCAAUGGGCGAAAGCCAGACGCAGCGACGCCGCGUGAGGGAUGAAGGUCUUCGGAUCGUAAACCUCUGUCAGCAGGGAAGAACGGUCACUGUGCUAAUCAGCAGUGAAUUGACGGUACCUGCAAAGGAAGCACCGGCUAACUCCGUGCCAGCAGCCGCGGUAAUACGGAGGGUGCGAGCGUUAAUCGGAAUUACUGGGCGUAAAGCGCUCGUAGGCGGUAUGUCAAGUCAAGUGUGAAAUCCCCGCGCUCAACGUGGGAACUGCCUUUGAAACUGGCAAACUGGAGUGUGUGAGAGGAUAGUGGAAUGCCAGGUGUAGGAGUGAAAUCCGUAGAUAUCUGGAGGAACAUCAGUGGCGAAGGCGACUAUCUGGCACAUAACUGACGCUGAGGAGCGAAAGCGUGGGUAGCAAACAGGAUUAGAUACCCGGGUAGUC
Molecule: ribosomal RNA, 465 nt
Filed under: uncultured bacterium
Lineage: Bacteria
Description: partial 16S ribosomal RNA
Rfam family: Bacterial small subunit ribosomal RNA
Source: RNAcentral